This 406-nucleotide ribosomal RNA is filed under the name uncultured bacterium. RNAcentral's name for it is "partial 16S ribosomal RNA". It matches the Rfam family "Bacterial small subunit ribosomal RNA", at positions 29 to 526 of the family's 1533-position model. The record is from RNAcentral.
AUUGAACGCUGGCGGCAGGCCUAACACAUGCAAGUCGAGCGAGGGGAGGAGGGGGGAGUAAGGUCUGGGAAAAUGCCUGAAGGAGGGGGAUAAGAAGGGGAAAAGGUAGAGAAAAACGUAUACCAUCAGAUGUGGGCAGAGGGGAUUAGCUAGUAGGUUGGGUAACGGCUCACCUAGGGGACGAUCCCUAGCGGGGCUGAGAGUAGGACCAGCCAAACUGGCACUGCGACACGGCCCAGACUCCUACGGGAGGCAGCAGUGGGGAAUAUUGCGCAAUGGGCGCAAGCCUGAUGCAGCCAGGCCGCGUGUGUGAAGAAGGCCUUCGGGUUGUAAAGCACUUUCAGCGGGGAGGCGUUACCCGCAGAGGAAGCACCGGCUAACUCCGUGCCAGCAGCCGCGGUAAUUC